AAACAUCAGAAUAAUAUAUACCAUGCCUGAAUAGGUUUACGAUAUGAAAUUUGAAACCUUGAUUGAACAGGGCUUGUGUGACGCGUUCUGUUUCAACUUGACAUUCGUCAAUCUUUGUAAGCAUACCCUUUUCGUUUCUGAGCAGAAUUGAGUGGGAGUUUCUCGCAGUAUUUUGUGUUCGUUUUAGGCGCUCAUCAUGAAGAUACCGUUCGCCGUCUUCGUCUUUGCAGGUAAGCAACGAAUCAAUUUUGAUACGAAUUUCUAAAUUAAGCCCCGCUCAAAAAAACGAGAAUGUGAACGGGCAAGCACGAAUUGCCAUAGGGAACAUUUCAAGAGAUGAACAAAAUAAAG
Molecule: non-coding RNA, 351 nt
Organism: Paramuricea clavata
Lineage: Eukaryota; Metazoa; Cnidaria; Anthozoa; Malacalcyonacea; Plexauridae
Source: the annotation of a GenBank genome assembly